ACUCAAAUGAAUAGACGGGGCCCCGCACAAGCGGUGGAGCAUGUUGUUUAAUACGUCACUAACCGUAGAACCUUACCAGGGUUUGACAUCCGUCGACCGCCCGUGAAAGCGGGCUUUCCCCGCAAGGGGACGGCGAGACAGGUGUUGCAUGGCUGUCGUCAGCUCGUGUCGUGAGAUGUUGGGUUAAGUCCCGCAACGAGCGCAACCCUCACGCGAUGUUGCCAGCGGAUAAUGCCGGGAACUCUUCGCGAACUGCCUGGGUAACCGGGAGGAAGGUGGGGAUGACGUCAAGUCAGCAUGGCCCUUACAUCCUGGGCUACAAACAUGCUACAAUGGACGGUAUACAAAGGGACCCGAUGCCGCGAGGUGGAGGAAAUCUCAAAAAUCCGUUCUCAGUUCGGAUCGCAGGCUGCAACUCGCCUGCGUGAAGUCGGAAUCGCUAGUAACCGCAGAUCAGCGAAGCUGCGGUGAAUACGUUCCCGGGGCUUGCACACACCGCCCGU
This 503-nucleotide ribosomal RNA is filed under the name uncultured bacterium. Its description in RNAcentral is "partial 16S ribosomal RNA". It matches the Rfam family "Bacterial small subunit ribosomal RNA", at positions 899 to 1397 of the family's 1533-position model. The record is from RNAcentral.